Molecule: ribosomal RNA, 392 nt
Filed under: uncultured bacterium
Lineage: Bacteria
Description: partial 16S ribosomal RNA
Rfam family: Bacterial small subunit ribosomal RNA
Source: RNAcentral
AUACGGAGGAUCCGAGCGUUAUCCGGAUUUAUUGGGUUUAAAGGGUGCGCAGGCGGCCAUUUAAGUCAGCGGUUAAAUCGUGGGGCUCAACCCCAUUCUGCCGUUGAUACUGGGUGGCUUGAUUGCGGUCGAGGUUGGCGGAAUUCGUUGUGUAGCGGUGAAAUGCAUAGAUAUGACGAAGAACACCGAUUGCGUAGGCAGCUGACCAGACCGCAAAUGACGCUCAUGCACGAAAGUGCGGGGAUCGAACAGGAUUAGAUACCCUGGUAGUCCGCACAGUAAACGAUGAAUACUUGUUUUCGGCGAUAUAAUGUCGGAGGCAAGGCGAAAGCGAUAAGUAUUCCACCUGGGGAGUACGCCGGCAACGGUGAAACUCAAAUGAAUUGACGGGG